UGAAUACGAGAUGCUACGGCGUCGAAGCAGUCUAUGUCAUACUUCCAAAAAGCUCGCACUGUCAUAAACAAAUAAUGCCUGUACCAUAACCGACACAGGUGGGUAGGUAGAGUAUACUAAGGGGCGCGAGAUAACUCUCUCUAAGGAACUCGGCAAAAUGACUCCGUAACUUCGGGAGAAGGAGUGCCUUAUUUAUAAGGUUGCAAUAACAAGAUCCAAGCAACUGUUUAUCAAAAACACAGGUCUCCGCUAAGUCGUAAGACGAUGUAUGGGGGCUGACGCCUGCCCAGUGCCAGAAGGUUAAAGAAGUUGGUUAGCAUUCGCGAAGCUGAUAACUGAAGCCCUGGUGAACGGCGGCCGUAACAAUAACGGUCCUAAGGUAGCGAAAUUCCUUGUCGGGUAAGUUCCGACCCGCACGAAAGGCGUAAUGAUUUGGAUACUGUCUCGGAGAGGGGCUCGGUGAAAUAGACUUGUCUGUGAAGAUGCGGACUACCUGCACCAGGACAGAAAGACCCUAUGAAGCUUUACUGUAACUUGAGAUUGAAAUUGGACUUUACUUGCGCAGUAUAGGUGGGAGGCGUUGAUAAUAUUCUUGCGGGAUUAUUUGAGCCAUCAGUGAGAUACCACUCUUGUAAUGUUAGAUUUCUAACUUUGUAUCAUUAUCUGGUCAAAGGACAGUUUCAGGCGGGCAGUUUGACUGGGGCGGUCGCCUCCUAAACGGUAACGGAGGCGCACAAAGGUUUCCUCUGAACGGGUAGAAAUCGUAUCUAGAGUGUAAAGGCAUAAGGAAGCUUGACUGUGAGACCUACAAGUCGAGCAGGGACGAAAGUCGGUCUUAGUGAUCUGACGGUGCUGAGUGGAAAGGCCGUCACUCAACGGAUAAAAGUUACUCUAAGGAUAACAGGCUGAUCUCCCCCAAGAGUUCACAUCGACGGGGAGGUUUGGCACCUCGAUGUCGGCUCAUCGCAUCCUGGGGCGGUAGUACGUCCCAAGGGUUGGGCUGUUCGCCCAUGAAAGCGGUACGCGAGCUGGGUUCAGAACGUCGUGAGACAGUUCGGUCCAUAUCCGGUGUAGGCGUUAGAAUAUUGAGAGGAGCCUUCUUUAGUACGAGAGGACCGAGAAGGACAUACCUCUGGUGUACCAGUUAUCGUGCCAACGGUAAACGCUGGGUAGCUAUGUAUGGAGUGGAUAACCGCUGAAAGCAUCUAAGUGGGAAGCCCACCUCAAGAUAAG
This 1233-nucleotide ribosomal RNA is filed under the name metagenome. Its description in RNAcentral is "bacterial LSU rRNA". It matches the Rfam family "Bacterial large subunit ribosomal RNA", at positions 1564 to 2808 of the family's 2925-position model. The record is from RNAcentral.